Molecule: ribosomal RNA, 516 nt
Filed under: uncultured bacterium
Lineage: Bacteria
Description: bacterial SSU rRNA
Rfam family: Bacterial small subunit ribosomal RNA
Source: RNAcentral
CGAUUCUGGCUCAGGAUGAACGCUAGCUACAGGCUUAACACAUGCAAGUCGAGGGGCAGCAUUAUCGAAGCUUGCUUUGAUAGAUGGCGACCGGCGCACGGGUGAGUAACGCGUAUCCAACCUUCCCAUCACUCAGGGAUAGCCCGCCGAAAGGCGAAUUAAUACCUGAUGGUCUCCUUUGCAGACAUCUAACGAGGAGUAAAGAUUCAUUGGUGAUGGAUGGGGAUGCGUCUGAUUAGGUAGUAGGCGGGGUAACGGCCCACCUAGCCGACGAUCAGUAGGGGUUCUGAGAGGAAGGUCCCCCACAUUGGAACUGAGACACGGUCCAAACUCCUACGGGAGGCAGCAGUGAGGAAUAUUGGUCAAUGGACGGAAGUCUGAACCAGCCAAGUAGCGUGCCAGGAUGACGGCCCUAUGGGUUGUAAACUGCUUUUGUGCGGGAAUAAAGUAUGGGACGUGUCCCAUUUUGCAUGUACCGCACGAAUAAGGACCGGCUAAUUCCGUGCCAGCCGCCGC